GACGUAGGGCGCGAGCGUUGUCCGGAUUUAUUGGGCGUAAAGCGCACGUAGGCGGCUUUUUAAGUCGGGGGUGAAAUCCUGGAGCUCAACUCCAGAACUGCCUUCGAUACUGGAAAGCUCGAGUCCGGGAGAGGUGAGUGGAACUGCGAGUGUAGAGGUGAAAUUCGUAGAUAUUCGCAAGAACACCAGUGGCGAAGGCGGCUCACUGGCCCGGUACUGACGCCGAGGUGCGAAAGCGUGGGGAGCAAACAGG
Molecule: ribosomal RNA, 253 nt
Filed under: uncultured bacterium
Lineage: Bacteria
Description: partial 16S ribosomal RNA
Rfam family: Bacterial small subunit ribosomal RNA
Source: RNAcentral